UGAACGCUAGCGGUGUGUUAACACAUGCAAGUCGAGCGCAUCUUCNGGAUGAGCGGCAGACGAGAGAGUAACACGUUGGUACCUACCCCAUACUCAGGGAUAACCCUCCGAAAGGAGGGCUAAUACCGGAUGGUCCCGCAAGGGUAAAGCUUUUGCGGUAUGGGAGGGGCCUGCGGCCUAUCAGCUAGUUGGUAAGGUAAAGGCUUACCAAGGCGAUGACGGGUAGUUGAUGUGAGAGCAUGAUCAGCCUCGAUGGGACUGCGACACGGCCCAUACUCCUACGGGAGGCAGCAGUGAAGAAUCUUCCGCAAUGGACGAAAGUCUGACGGAGCAACACCGCGUGAAGGACGAAGGCCCUCGGGUCGUAAACUUCUUUUCUGAGGGAAUAAGUUCUGAAGGUACCUCAGGAAUAAGGCGCUGCUAACUACGUGCCAGCAGCAGCGGUAAUACGUAGGCGCCAAGCGUUAUCCGGAAUUACUGGGCGUAAAGCGUCCGUAGGCGGCUAAAUUAGUCGGGUGUUAAAUUUUCGUGCCUAACGCGAAAAACGUACUCGAAACUGCUUAGCUACGAGUCUGAAAGAGGUCACUGGAAUUCCUACUGAGGGGUAAAAUCCGUAGAUAGUAGGAGGAACACCAAAAGCGAAGGCAGGUGGCUGGUUCAGUACUGACGCUCAGGGACGAAAGCGUGGGGAGCAAACAGGAUUAGAUACCCUGGUAGUCCACGCCGUAAACGAUGAGUGCUAGGCGUUGAAGAGUUGUUUCGAUCCUCUUCAGUGUCCAAAGUUAACACGUUAAGCACUCCGCCUGGGGAGUACGGCCGCAAGGCUAAAACUCAAAGGAAUAGACGGGGGCCCGCACAAGCGGUGGAGCAUGGGGUUUAAUUCGAUAAUAAGCGAGGAACCUCACCUAGGCUUGACAUCUCGAGAAAGCUCUGGAAACAGAGCCGUGCCUUUUGGAACUCGAUGACAGGCGCUGCAUGGUUGUCGUCAGCUCGUGCCCUGAGGUGUUCGGUUAAGUCCGUAAACGAGCGCAACCCUCGUCGUGUGUUGUAUUUUUCACGCGAGACUGCCGGCCCUAAGCCGGAGGAAGGCGAGGAUGACGUCAAAUCAGCAUGGCCCUUAUGCCUAGGGCGACACCCGUGCUACAAUGGGGAGUACAAAGGGUAGCGAAAGCGCAAGCUGGAGCCAAUCCUAAAAACUUCCCCCAGUUCGGAUUGAGGGCUGCAAUUCGCCCUCAUGAAGUUGGAAUCGCUAGUAACCGUGGAUCAGCCAUGUCACGGUGAAUAUGUUCCCGGGCCUUGUACUCACCGCCCGUCACGUCAUGGAAGAUGGGAGCACCCAAAGC
RNAcentral lists this ribosomal RNA (1343 nucleotides) under uncultured organism. RNAcentral describes it as "16S ribosomal RNA". It matches the Rfam family "Bacterial small subunit ribosomal RNA". The record is from RNAcentral.